RNAcentral lists this ribosomal RNA (3426 nucleotides) under Triticum aestivum (bread wheat). Its description in RNAcentral is "partial small subunit ribosomal RNA". Lineage: Eukaryota; Viridiplantae; Streptophyta; Magnoliopsida; Poales; Poaceae. The record is from RNAcentral.
AUGGCGCUGUCCAGGGGCUCUUUUUCAUCUCUCACCGCAGCCUCCUCUCUCCUUUUGCCUUUCCACUUCCCGAAGCUAGGGUUGCCGCCGCCGCCGCCGCCCCAUCUCUCCUCCGGCACCGGGCACCGAAGGAAGGCCGGCUUCUCCCACAUAUCUUCUCCUCUUGAUUGCUACCUCAUAGCAAGGCGUGGCCCAGCUCUUCACCAUGGCGCCGACAGCAAGGCAGGCAGCGCCGCGAGCUCUCGUCACGAGGAAGCCGCAGGAGGACGAGGUCAAGCCGGACUAGGUCGAUGCGCCCCCCUGCCAUACCUCCUUCUUCUCUUGCGGGUUGGUUGCUGGCUUGCUGCUGUUUCUGGUGCCAGGAGCACCAGGCUGCAUCAUAAGACGCCUCAACAGCGACCGACGAAGUCGUCGAGCCGAGGUGAGAACCCCCUUCGGCCCUUCCCACGCCUUCCCAUGCUGCCCCCUCCGUGGUUAUUAGCCGCUAGCCGUAUGUACUGCCGACAUGCAAGCCUUUUGAGUGAGUUCCUCCAUAUUUCAUCAAUUCAGGUUGGUUCAUACACAUCACAGCUAAUGAUGUUCACUUUUGCUUUGGCAAAAUGUUUGGCCGUGGAAGGAAAGCCUUUUGGUGUGGGUAUAUACGGUUAUCCUAUUGAGAUCCAAGCUCUAUUGUACAUGAAAUUAAGAUGUGCUCUUCAAAUGCUUAAGCCGGAUGCCGCCGACGCCUUCCGCCCUGCGCUGCACCUGCAUGACGUGCCUCCGGCGGUCGCCUCGAUCCGCGGCCUGCAGGCCGGCUGGCCGUCCGUCAGAUUAGCACAAGGAAGACGUUGCGCCAUUGAUCGAUCAAGGAAGCUAAUGAAGAGAUUCUUUGGAAAAUCAACAACCCACAAUAUGCCUAAAGAGGUGACAAUUAAACGCUUCCUUGGGAAAAAUCGCCGUGGGAUGAAACAGAAGGAGGUUCACUACACAGAAGACUACCUCCAGAAGUGCAUUAACCAAGAUCAUGAUGCAUUGCCAAUCAAGCUUGCAGAUGGCGAGGUCCCCGUCGUCUCUCGCCUCAUCACAGGGAAUGACAGGAUGACCACCAUCACAACCAACUGGACAGAGUUCCACUGUCAUGCAAACAUGCAUGAGGGUGACAUCUGCGCCUUCUACUUCAGACGCAAGGCAAGGGCGCCAACACCGAAACCCUAUCCAUCCACAUUUCCCCCCUCCCGUCCGCCGCCGCCGCCAUUUUACUCGUCGUCCACCACUAGUAGUAGCCAUGCCCCACGCCGCUAUGAGAAGGAGGAGGAUGAGGAUGAGGUGGAGGUGGAGGAGAAUGAGGAGGAAGAGGAGCAGGGGGAGGAUGAGGAGGAUGCGGGGAGCGCGAAUCAACAGGCGAUCCUUGAUUCCCUUUGGUCGGAAUUGGCGGCGGAGCACACUGCGGACGUCGACGAGAUGCUCGUGUAUAUGGAUGAUGGUGAUGAGGAGGAGCCCUCAUGCACGCCCAUCUACCCAGCGCCCGGCACCGACAUCAUGGACAUCUUCGAUGAUGAAGCGUAUGUUUGUAAACAUGUCGAGUGGUGGACGCUUGAGGGGCUAAAUUUGGGUAGUCGGGCCGCCCCACUCGACUUUACGGUGCACAUACCGAACUUUAUGGACCAAGAGAGGCUUACGGUCCUUCCGACGGAAGAACAACGCAUGAAUAUGUGCCAAAACUCCAAAGUCGACUUAGAAAAUGUGAGGCAACGUCUAAGAGAAAGUUUUGUUAAGAGCCCCGAAUUCGGCGCUCAUCGCCUCUCACUCGCUCAAACGAAGAUGAAAAAAGGAACACACUGGAUUUUCUUCCGGCGCACAAAUGCCAUUCCGUGCAAGCGACGCCUCGGCUGCACGAACGACCUCACUUUACUGGACACGUACCCCGGCUCGGUGGCACAUACCACACCGGCUCGGCAAGUAACCGGCACAUACAUGAGAGAUUGCAUGCCCUGGAGACUAACUCCGGCAACUACUCAUGGACAACAACCUGCCCGGCUCCUAUGCCACUCACACAUCAAGCUACUAGCUACAACCCCACAUGCAGCUAACCAACCGCUAAGGCGCGUGUUUGGUUGCCCGCAUGCAGCCCAACCAGGCCCGCGCGGGAUGUGCGCGGCCUGUUUGGUUGCCUGGGUUGCAUGUGGUUUGUGGCCCGCACGGACUUUAAAGCAGCCCGUAGCCUGGCCCAGCGGAAACUGUCGGUUUCUCGCGAGCCUGGCUCGACGCGGCCACGCGUCCGAGGCAGUUGCACGCCUCGUGCAGCGCGGGAGACGGAGGGGACGUCUCAUAACUCGCCCCCACUCUCCUGUCACCGUCCAGUCGCACUGUUCCCACCGCUCCCUCUCUACCUCGCCGCCCCUCCCUCUCCUCUCCUCCGAUGGCUCUGCCUCGCCCACCGCUGCGCCGCCCUCUAACCCCCGUCGACCAGCGCAUCGCCAGCAUCUAGGAGCGCUGGCUGGCCGGGCUCCAGAACUCGGGCCGAGACCUGGCGUCAGCGUUGCGAGCGCCGUCCCCCAUCUGCUGUCGGCCACCACGAGCGCCGGCCAAUGCGGUGCCGGCCGUUCCUGCUCCGCCGCCGAUUCCGGACCUCGUGGUCCUGGGCUCGGCGCUGGCGCCGUCCACAGAGCCGCCGCUUCUUGGGACCCCAUUGGGCAGGGGGGUUUUCUUGACCCCCGUCCAAGGGUUUUCUGGUGUCGGCGGGCCGUCCUCCUCGACCUUCGGCGUGGCGAUGAGCACGGGGCCGAUGCCGCAGGCCGUCGCCAGGGCCGGCUCCUCCUCUGCUCCGCCACCUCUCUCCUUCCCGCUGGGGUUUUCACCCCGGCCUCGGUUCGCUGCGCGUGCUUCGUGGCAUUUGCUCUUGGGCAAAUGUCUCUGAUCAGUGCCAUUUUGCAAAGAGUUUGUGCACUAAUACUUGUCGUCUUACCUGACAAGAUACUGAAGACUGACUGGGAUGUGGCGGGUGGAGGAGCUCAGGUGGUGGCCGGAGCUGAGGGCGCCGAGGAUUUCAUCCCCACGAACAGGUGGCUUAGGACGGUGGACCUGCCUGGCAGGAUCGCCUUCACGAGCCUGCGUCAUUCAAGGGGACGAUCUCCGAGGCAGGGCCACGAGGAGGGGGGCCGGGAGCCGCUGCGCUUCUACCAGCAGAUCAAGGACAAUGAGGACCUCGCCAUGCUCGUCGUCCCUCCCAAGUCCAGAACUUCGAGGGGGCACAUGGUGCUUGGCCGGGGCUGGAACUACUUCUGCCGCCGCCACCGGAUAAUCCCCAGCGACCUCGUCGUUGUGCGCAUCUCAGGACUCGGAUUGAAGUGUGUGGCGAGACUUGUGUUGGGAACUUGUUCAUAUUUUGGCCAGGAGCAGCACCCUGGCAUGGAGCAGGGAAGGAGGAUGCCCAUGCUAUUAAUCUAG